This 407-nucleotide ribosomal RNA is filed under the name uncultured bacterium. RNAcentral describes it as "partial 16S ribosomal RNA". It matches the Rfam family "Bacterial small subunit ribosomal RNA", at positions 30 to 526 of the family's 1533-position model. The record is from RNAcentral.
AUUGAACGCUGGCGGCAGGCAUAACACAUGCAAGUCGAGCGGAGCGGCGGAAGGGUGAGUAAUGCCUAGGAAUCUGCCUGGUAGUGGGGGAUAACGUCCGGAAACGGGCGCUAAUAUCGCAUACUAUCAGAGGAGCCUAGGUCGGAUAAGCUAGUUGGUGGGGUAAAGGCAUACCAAGGCUACGAUCCGUAACUGGUCUGAGAGGAUGAUCAUUCACACUGGAACUGGGACACGGUCCAGACUCCGACGGUAGGCAGCAGGGGGGAAUAUUGGACAAUGGGCGAAAGCCUGAUCCAGCCAUGCCGCGUGGUGGAAGAAGGUCUUCGGAUUGUAAAGCACUUUAAGUUGGGAGGCGUUACCAACAGAAUAAGCACCGGCUAACUUCGUGCCAGCAGCCGCGGUAAUAC